This 389-nucleotide ribosomal RNA is filed under the name Chloroflexota bacterium. RNAcentral's name for it is "Chloroflexi bacterium (marine sediment metagenome) partial 23S ribosomal RNA". It matches the Rfam family "Bacterial large subunit ribosomal RNA", at positions 1 to 350 of the family's 2925-position model. Lineage: Bacteria; Bacillati; Chloroflexota. The record is from RNAcentral.
GGUCAAGUUAUUAAGGGCUUACGGUGGAUGCCUUGGGACCAAAAGCCGAUGAAGGGCGCGGCAAGGCUGCGAUAAGCCUCGAUGAGCCGUCUAGUGGGCAUAGUCGGGGAUACCCGAAUUGGGAAACCUUAUCCGGUGUUGAGUCGGAUAAUCCUUCUCGCAAGGGAAGGAGGGCAAGUGGGGGAACUGAAACAUCUAAGUACCCCGAAGAAAAUAAAUCAACCGAGAUUCCCCUAGUAGUGGCGAACGAACGGGGAUCAGCCUAAACCGGCAUGACUUAGUGGCAUAAGGGCCUAUGUCAUACCGGGGUUGUAGGGAUCGUCUAGAGCCCCCUUAUGAGGCUCGAAGGAGUUACAAAUCUCAUUCCUAGUCGAAGGAUCCUGGGAAGG